UCGGGACUCACCUCCCUAAGUAUAUAUUGUGUUUCUAUUAUGAUUUUUAGCGUUACGGUAUGAUAUUAAUCGAAUCCGACGUUGCCGGUCGAAGUCCGGCGGAAGCCCACUGAUUUCCGUUGAAAACAGUACUGGAAUUUGAAAUGGAAAAUAGAAUAAUUACAGUUUAACCCCUCGUGACUUAAGAGCUUAUAAAUCUAACUCUUAAAUGGUAAAAGUUAAUAUUAAGCCCCGAAGUUAAUUAGUUUCAUUCCGAUGCCGCCGGUCGAACCGGCCGAAACCCACUGUUUUUCCUGAAAAUGGUAGCCACUGGAUUUGAAAAUUUCUUAGAAUAUUUGCUGUUUAGUCCCUUAAAUAGAUUAGCUCAUAAAUCUAACCCUUGAGUAUUAAAGGCUAAGAUUAUAAGUCCCGAGGUGAUUAAGAGUAAAUCGUAGACUUUAGUUUCGAAAAAGAAAAGAGAAAAGAAAAGGAAUAACUUAAUUUGUUUUAAUCGCAUAAUUAGUGUUGUCGCACGAUUAAAUAGUUUUAGGAUGUUGGUAUGUUUAGUUGGAUUAUUGAAUUGCAUGAUUAGAUUUAACGUAUGAUAAAUUAUUCGCGUGUUUAGCGUCAUCGCAUGAUUUGUUUUUAUCGCAAAUUUAUUUGUUGUUAUAGCCCAUGAGCAUGUUUCGAAAAGUGUUGAAUUGUGUGAAAUGUUAUUGUAUUGAUAGAUUGGCCAAAUAGGUUCCCGGGGUUGGUUGCGAUGUGCGGAUUUAACAUAUUAGACGUGAAAGUAAGUUUAAAGGAAAAUGGAUAAUGUGAGAGGCUGUGAUUGUGAUUCCGGACAAGGAAUCCGGGGAUUGAAUUAUUGGAGGUUGAUUGGUGGUGAUUUGUUGAAAGUGUCGAUUUACGAAUCCUGGGUACGGCAUGGUGGUGAUCAGCUCUCGGAUGUUGGGACGGGACAUAAGGGUGGCAUUGUGCUUGCGUCACAACCCGGGCUAGACGGCGCUUGAGCGUUGCCGGUGAAGUUCAACCCGGGCUAGACGGCGCUUGAGCGUUGCCGGUGAAGUUUUAUCCGAACUUAUGGUUGCGGAUGGGAUACCCAGGUAUAUAACUUAGGUAUCUUUCAUCUGGAUCUGGAAAAGGGGAGUCGGACCACACCAGUGUUUGUGCCAGAGGUUAUGGGUAGGAACGGAUCUGUGGAUAAGAUCUGAGAUUUCACUUAGGUUAAAGAAUAGUGAUGAAAUAAUGGAUUUGUUAUCUUCUGAUGUUAUUUUUAUUGCAUUGAUGUUAUUUUUAUUGCAUUCCUAUUAUAUAUCUCGUUGCUUGUAAGUUAUGGGUUCGGGUAGUUCGGGACUCACCUCCCUAAGUAUAUAUUGUGUUUCUAUUAUGAUUUUUAGCGUUACGGUAUGAUAUUAAUCGAAUCCGACGUUGCCGGUCGAAGUCCGGCGGAAGCCCACUGAUUUCCGUUGAAAACAGUACUGGAAUUUGAAAUGGAAAAUAGAAUAAUUACAGUUUAACCCCUCGUGACUUAAGAGCUUAUAAAUCUAACUCUUAAAUGGUAAAAGUUAAUAUUAAGCCCCGAAGUUAAUUAGUUUCAUUCCGAUGCCGCCGGUCGAACCGGCCGAAACCCACUGUUUUUCCUGAAAAUGGUAGCCACUGGAUUUGAAAAUUUCUUAGAAUAUUUGCUGUUUAGUCCCUUAAAUAGAUUAGCUCAUAAAUCUAACCCUUGAGUAUUAAAGGCUAAGAUUAUAAGUCCCGAGGUGAUUAAGAGUAAAUCGUAGACUUUAGUUUCGAAAAAGAAAAGAGAAAAGAAAAGGAAUAACUUAAUUUGUUUUAAUCGCAUAAUUAGUGUUGUCGCACGAUUAAAUAGUUUUAGGAUGUUGGUAUGUUUAGUUGGAUUAUUGAAUUGCAUGAUUAGAUUUAACGUAUGAUAAAUUAUUCGCGUGUUUAGCGUCAUCGCAUGAUUUGUUUUUAUCGCAAAUUUAUUUGUUGUUAUAGCCCAUGAGCAUGUUUCGAAAAGUGUUGAAUUGUGUGAAAUGUUAUUGUAUUGAUAGAUUGGCCAAAUAGGUUCCCGGGGUUGGUUGCGAUGUGCGGAUUUAACAUAUUAGACGUGAAAGUAAGUUUAAA
Long non-coding RNA from Rhododendron vialii, 2106 nucleotides. RefSeq lists it as uncharacterized. Lineage: Eukaryota; Viridiplantae; Streptophyta; Magnoliopsida; Ericales; Ericaceae. The transcript has 2 exons. The record is from RefSeq and is a predicted model, not a curated record.